AUGCCAGCAAGCUGGCUUGUCUUCAAAGCGUGCCCCAGCACACAGGUGGGGCUGGAGGCCAGCCCCUUGGGCACGCACGGGAGUGAAGGGGUGCGCCCAGGCCUUCCACCUCUGUGGGCCUGCACUCCCUCCGCUGUCUCAGGAGCGCGAGCAGACCCAGGGCGGAGGUGGCUGGGCACUGCCCGUGAGCGCCGCACCUGUGGGACAUGGGCAGGCCCUGGCAGCGAGGCGGCAGGGAGUUGUCCGCCCAGCCCUCCCGGGGACUCAGUGAGCUCGAUCUUCACCCCGGCUGGGCGCCCACCCUUCCUGCAAAGGACGAGGAUGCAGCUGGCUGGAAGUGGCCGCAGGCCGCCCGGGACCCAGGCCCUGCGUCCUCUGCAGCCUCGCCUGGCGCUGGCCCACCUCUUGCCAUCCCAUCCCCACCUGCCGGUCCUCUGCUGCCACAGUGCUGCUCUCGCAUCCAGCCGCUGCCAGCUGCUGCCCAGCACCAGCACUGCAGGUCCUCAGGAAGUCUGCUGACUGAGUGGAGGAAUAAAUGAGUGUGACCACUGUGCCCACAGAGCGGCCCGGUGUGGUUUAGGAAAGAGGAGGGAGGGAAAAGCACCCAAUAGAAAGCCACCGGACCUGGCCUCCAUUUCCUGCUCUGCCACAAGGCAGCUGGCUGGGGGGAGCAACUGGCCCUUUCCAGCCUCAGUCCCCUGCUUGGAGGCCAGAGGGCUGGACACCCGCCCUGACCCUCCCGGGCCUUUGGGCUUGCCCUCUGUGAAAUGGGCUGGCAAGCAAAGCCCCAUCCUGCGGUCGUCGUGAGGCCAGACGCACAAUGAAAAGGCCUUGGCGGAGUUUCCUGCGGAGUCGAGGUCAGGGACAGAGAGCGCUGAUCUUCUGCCAUUAACAGUCGAUGAUUCUAAACAGCAUUCAAAUAAUCAGCUCGCUUUCUUCGCGGCCACAGAAUAAAGAGCAUUCAUUCCCGUGGAUAUAGCACUCUUUGGUUCUAACUUUCCUUUUCUUCCAGAAAUAUGCUCCUCAUGGAAACAAACUGAUGAUCAGGACUUGGAUUUGGUUUCCUAGUACAGCAGUCCCUGCUUCCUGCUGGGUGGCUUCCUGAGAGACUAAAGGAACUCCAUAUUAGACCAAUGAAGCUGCAUAUCAGCAUGUGACAGGGUCAAAAUGAGAACUAAAAAUGUAAAGAUCCAGGAAAAAAAAAUUCAGGAUGAACUGAAGAACUUUUCCAGUAGUCAAAUAUGUGAAAUCUAUUUCAUUUUCCCCAGACUGGCCCCCUUUGCCCAAGCAUACCUUUCCCCUGCCAAUAUAAUUAAGAGGUAAUCAGGAGAUAAUCAAAACUGUUUCACAGUAAGGGCGAUAAAUAGCUCCCGUCUGCUCAGUAAGUGGCCAGGCUGCAGGCGAAACGGCUGCUCAGCGAUGUCGAGGGAGAGAUUGGCUCUUUGUUAAGGCAGAAGCAGAGUCAAUUAUUGCAAUUAAACUCUAUCAAGAUGCCUUGAAUUUAAUCAAAUAAAAAGUUUUAUUUCAGGAGUUAGAAGAAAAGUGGAUACACAUGAGGGAGAGGGGCUUUGGAGACGUGGGUCGGCGAAGUCCAGCUCAGGGCCGUGGGGGCCUCCCUAGGGCCCCUGCUCAACCACACGGCACAGGAAGAACUACGGCCCAGCAACACGCCACUUAGCAAGGCCCUGGCUGGUGUUUCGUACAAAGUUAGAAGAGCUGGGCUGUGCCGGAGAGGCCUUCUCUUGUCUGUUCCACUAACGUCUUUGGUGACCUUUCCAGGAGCAAACCCCAAACCCAGCAGAGCCGUGGUCGCGACUCCUGAGGAGCGGGGCCACGCUCAGGGCCACCCAGGUCCAGCCACGCUGGGGGCCGGGGGGGCCGGGGGGGCCGACACACGUGGCAGGUGGAGAACCAGGGCCGACGGGUUUGCUUUUAUUUGCACACAAAGGCUCGGCGAGCAUUCCCAAACGAAGCGAGCCCAGGGAGAGGGGAGCAGGGCGGGGCGGCGCUCAGGGUCGCGGACGGAAAGGCGUUGCUCUCCAAGUGAUGGACACCGGACGUGCUUGCUGCGCCAGGGAGGGCAGCAAGAAGCCCCAGGAGGCGGUGUGGCGGGCUGCUGCUGAGGCUGUGCCGGAGCGGAGGCCGAGCACGGCCGACAAGCAGCACCGAGGCUGCGCUCCGCGGCUGGGGAGGGCCCGGACCAGCCUCGUCCCCCUCGCGUACUCGAAAGGAAAGCGUCAGAUCAGAUGGCCCCAGAGGCCCCAGGGAACCCAGAGCUCCCUGGCAACUCUUGUAGCCGCAGACUCCAUGAACGUUUUAUCAGCUGGCUAAAAGCGGUUGCAUUUUCUAGGAUAAAGUCAACAUGAACUUGGAGUCUUAAUUUGGGAUUCUCAGCUAAGCAGAAGUGGGAAAGCGCGUCCGACAGGAGCCGGGAGAGUUCUGGCACAGGCGGGAGCAGCAGUUAGGAGGAGCCAAGGUGUCUGGAUUAGCACCUCCCACAGCCUGGGAUGAGAGCUGAGCAGCCUGGGGGAGAGCUGGGCGCAGCCCGUCGGCAGCAGGCGCUGCCUGGCAGCGGGGGCAGCGGGCCUUCCAAGCCCAGCUGAGUCACUCACGGCAGGAGCCCUGGUCUUCAGGAACCGGGCGGAGGCACAGCCCCCUGGGAGCGGCCGGCUCAGGAGGCCUCGCCAGGGAGCACAGGCUUCUCCGCACGGCCGGGAAGGGGCGCCGAGGCUGUGGGCGCCAAGAGCCGCCAGGCCUCAGGACCUGCUGAGCGGAGCCCAGGAGACGGCUCCCCGAGGGCUUGGCACCGGGAGCUAAGCAGAGCGGCAUGUCUGGCCACUAGGUCCCCGCCUGAGGCAAGGUGUAAAUGUGUAUUACUUUGUGCUUUAACCUCAAUUUUUGUUAGACUUUUUUCCCUUUGUCCUCCUGCUAAAAAUUCAAUCUCUCCAUCACCAGGCAAGGAAUAUAAUAACUAGACUUUAAAUUAUUUAUUCCGAGUGCUCUUUGCUUCCUGGCUUUCCUGUGCGUUCCCUGGGGAUGCACACACUUUGGUCUAUUUAUGAGGGCAGGGAGCCCUCGGCCCCGCUGUGAGCAUCUCAUCAGUCAGGGCGGCAGCGCGCUCCCCAGGCCGCGGCCGAUAGCCGGUGCAGCCGAGGCUGCAGCUGGCAAAACCCGCAGAGCCAGGGGGCGUGUGCCCGCUCUUCUCCCGAGCCCCGGG
Molecule: long non-coding RNA, 3217 nt
Organism: Dasypus novemcinctus (nine-banded armadillo)
Lineage: Eukaryota; Metazoa; Chordata; Mammalia; Cingulata; Dasypodidae
Source: Ensembl